Molecule: ribosomal RNA, 710 nt
Filed under: uncultured marine eukaryote
Lineage: Eukaryota
Description: bacterial SSU rRNA
Rfam family: Eukaryotic small subunit ribosomal RNA
Source: RNAcentral
UAUCUGGUUGAUCCUGCCAGUAGUCAUAUGCUUGUCUCAAAGACUAAGCCAUGCAUGUCUCAGUAUAAGGCAUCUCACGUCGAAGCUGCGAAUGGCUCAUUAAAACAGUUAUAGUAUACCUGCUGGUCGCUAGUUAUACGGCAUACCUGUAGCAAUUCUAGAGCUAAUACGUGCGUAAAGACCCGACUUCUUGGAAGGGUUAUAUUUGUUAGAUCCAGAACCAGCUCUCUUGAGAGAUUUCGGAUGAUUCAUAAUAAACGAACGGAGCGUAGGGCUUGAGCCGACGCUGUAGCAGUGAAGUUUCUGACCUAUCAGCUAUCGACGGUAGGGUAUUGGCCUACCGUGGCAUUGACGGGUAACGGGGAAUUAGGGUUCGAUUCCGGAGAGGGAGCCCGAGAAACGGCUACCACAUCUAAGGAAGGCAGCAGGCGCGCAAAUUACCCAAUCCUGACUCAGGGAGGUAGUGACAAGAAAUAACAAAGCAGGCCCCUCUGGGGUUUUGCUAUUGGAAUGAGUAGAAUUUAAACCUCUUUACGACUAUCAAUUGGAGGGCAAGUCUGGUCCAGCAGCCGCGGUAAUUNCAGCUUCAAUAGCGUAUAUUAAAGUUGUUGCGGUUAAAAAGCUUGUAGUUGGAUUUCUGUCGAGGGUGGGUCGGUCCCGCACUAUUGUGCGUGUAUCUGGCUCGGGCUUUGCAUUCNUCUUGGGGAANC